Molecule: ribosomal RNA, 498 nt
Filed under: uncultured Sphingobacteriales bacterium
Lineage: Bacteria; Pseudomonadati; Bacteroidota; Sphingobacteriia; Sphingobacteriales
Description: bacterial SSU rRNA
Rfam family: Bacterial small subunit ribosomal RNA
Source: RNAcentral
CCUUGCCAGCCCGCUCAAGAACUCAAAGGAAUUGACGGGGCCCGCACAAGCGUGGAGCAUGUGGUUUAAUUCGAUGAUACGCGAGGAACCUUACCUGGGCUCAAAUGUAUGUUGACGUAUUCUGAAAGGGAUACUUCUUCGGACAAUAUACAAGGUGCUGCAUGGUUGUCGUCAGCUCGUGCCGUGAGGUGUCGGGUUAAGUCCCAUAACGAGCGCAACCCUAUCAUUAGUUGCCAUCAGGUCAAGCUGGGGACUCUAAUGAAACUGCCUACGCAAGUAGUGAGGAAGGUGGGGAUGACGUCAAAUCAGCACGGCCCUUACGUCCGGGGCGACACACGUGUUACAAUGGGUGGUACAAAGGGCAGCUACCUGGCGACAGGAUGCUAAUCUCGAAAACCGCUCUCAGUUCGGAUCGGAGUCUGCAACUCGACUCCGUGAAGCUGGAUUCGCUAGUAAUCGCGCAUCAGCCACGGCGCGGUGAAUACGUUCCCGGGCCUU